Lethenteron reissneri (Far Eastern brook lamprey) is the source of this 4813-nucleotide long non-coding RNA. RefSeq lists it as uncharacterized. The record is from RefSeq and is a predicted model, not a curated record. Lineage: Eukaryota; Metazoa; Chordata; Hyperoartia; Petromyzontiformes; Petromyzontidae.
GGGUGGGGGAGGGCUGGAGGAGCCGCUGGAAUUCUCGGCAGGAGACGCGCGCGCAGCCCUCGCAGCGCGCGCCUCGUUCGCCUCCCGAUGGAGAGUGGCGCGCUCCUCUUCGUCUACUUUUUGGUGGAAUUCGCGCGCCUAUGUCUCCACCAUCGAUUCCACGUGUUACGAUCUGUGUCACACACACACACGGGUAUAGUUUAUUCAGGGGGUUGGGGGUUUGUCAAUAAGUAAUUUGGAGAAGCCUUGCUCGACCAUCACGCAGACGUAUACCAAUAGAACAUAGCAGCAGGUGAUGAGGAACACGCGGUGCCACUCCCGUUGGAGUAAGGCCACCUGAGAUCGGUGAGGUUAAAAGGAGUCCCCUGGGGCUUGUGGAGGUCGAAGCGGUAGCGGGCUGGGCUGGGCUCUGCUCCAUCCUGGGCUCCGUGCUGCGUUCCAGCGGCUGUUGUGUGUAGUUUUGUUUUAAUGUAUUAUUUUAAAUAAACGCAUUUAUGAUGAUGAACUCCGAAUCUGCCGCUGUCGCUCUGGCGCGUUCUGAGCCGACCGAUCACAGGCGACGGGAUGAGAUGUUCCCGUCAAGACGCGAAGUCGAGCUCCAGAGCUCCGAUUAUAAUGAUCACGGUUGGCUACGUACGGUGCGAAAUAAGUUCAACAUUCAUGAACUCACCUCGUCAAUCUGUCUCCAUGGCGGUCAUCCUCUUCGACGCGUCCACUCCUUUGGCUGAAAUACUGCACCCGUCUCGUACAUCGGCCUUCUAGAUGUUCUCUGUCCAAGUUUGCUUAAAGUUAAACAAUUAUACUUUGUAGUCGUCCCGUAUGCUCUUUUAAUUCACGUGUUCCCUUUUUUAUAGCUCUCAACGCAAUCAUGAGCGUGUCUCUCCCAAUAUUCUUUGUAAAAUUUUAUUCAUUGAUAAAAAAAAAUUGUAUCACGUUUCUGAUUCGUGUCAUAGCAGGUAAGUAACAUGUUCGUCACGUUGGUGUCUGCGCGUGUGUGCGUGUUACGUUUAAUGAUCACGUUCAACUUACUCAAAAACACCCCUUGCCUGCCAUGUGUCCGAGUCUUUAUCUCAUAAUUUAAAUCCCGCUCACCUUCAAUACCCGUCCUAGAUGAUCACAGCCGCGUUUUCCAAUUGUCCCACGGAUAUCGAAAAUUGUUUGGCGAACUGCUCUACACGACCUGUCGGUCUUUAUUUAAAUUUCAAAAUUAGCCGCUGUUAAUUGCCAUUGGAUGUCAUGAUGACCUCUUAAGCAAAUCGGAGAUGCUUAAUCUAUAUAUGUUUUGAUCCAUUUAAAGUGAAACGCGUGCUCUUCUUUCUCCCAGUGGAACGUUUGUAAUACGAAACUUUAAUUUUGCUGUAACAACUUUGGGUGUAGCAGAGCAGCCGACAGCUAAAUUACAGAUACGUGAGGGUCAUACACAUUCUUUGUUGAGAUUACACGCACACGCUAUUGUGGGGAACAGCCGUGGAGACGUACGAAUAAUAGCCAUUAGCGUGGACUUUAAAGAUGCCACUACACUGUAAAAACCGAGACUGGGGUUAAUUAAUGUUUAGUAAAUAUAUAGGAGUAGCCUAUACAUAAAAAUAAUGACUAUGUGUAGUUUAGAAUCACAUUGAGCUGAAUUCAACACCUUUCUAUUAGUUAUUAAUUGUAUUUUACUCAAUUUUGUUCAAAUAAAAUCAGCCAUCAAUAACUGAGUAGAAUUUAAUUGUAUUUUAUCAGGAAAGUCAAAAAUGCCAAAAAUUGAUUAAUUUUACUAACCGGGAGGUUUUUGAAUUUAAUAACGUUACACUUCCGCCCAAACUCGAGGCAUUUUUUCGCGCCACGUGCAUGUCAACCAUCUUCUUCAACAGACACGUUUCAGGGACCGCCGUUCUCCCAAAGGUAAGACAUGUUUUAUUAUUUUAGCGAACAUUUUUUUAACAAAGGUGUGGUAGCAGUUGAACAUUGUUUUAUGUUACUGCAUAUUACCAGCAUGCCAAUAUCAGAAUUAACUAGCACAACGUUAGGCCUUUGGAAGUCAGUCUGAUUUGACUAAAAGCACGAGACUAUAAUUUUUGUUCCGCACACGAAAAAGUAACGUGUGUGAUUAAAACUAGACUAUAUUCAUUCGGAUCACAGCGUGUAUCGAACCAAAAGUCCUGUACCUGCCGUUACACCUCCAGUAUAUUAUAUCUUGCUGUUGAUGUACGUACAGUAUGCUAACGUUAGCUAGCUUGCCACCAGUCAGUUAGCGUCACCCUUACGUUGUGGCUAGCUUGUUGUGUAGUUGCUAGCUAGCUAGAUGAUGUGAGUGACAAGAAGUUGAUGUGCUAAAUGUGAGCAUGAAAAUUUGAAUAUUAAAAAUAAUAAGGAAUUAUCUUGUAAAUGUGCUCCUAUUGUCCUCAUGUGAUUAGAGACCUGGUGGCCUUGCAUCUGAUACAUGGACCUUUUUCUGCCUCAGGUUUUUGCUUAUGGAAUGGAAGUGUAAGAUCUGCAAGUCUUUGUCUGCCACAAAGGGAAAUCUACUAAAGCAUUACAGACUACAACACGCAACAUUUGGUCGUGGGCAAUCCCAGCCAUGCCUAUAUGACAGUUGCCCUUGCACAUUUAAAACACAGAGUGCCCUUCGCACACAUUUGUCCAGAUACCAUUCAGAUGAAGAAAGUCUACGGUCAGGAAACAUACUGCUUUUAAGUGUUUAGUUUGCAAUGCUUGUUGUUCUAUAGAGAAGGACUACUUUCAGCAUAUUGGAAAUCAUCUGAAGAGCCACGAAACUGUAUUUUGUGUAUUUGCAGGAUGCAGCUUUCAGACAAAUAUAUACAAUACAUUUCUAAAACACAAAAGCAAAAGACACAAAUCCUAUUCUUUGAGUGAUUUUAAGAAAGAUGUGUAUGAGAGUCGCCAUAAUCAGACUGUUGACCAUUCUGAUUUACCAGAGGCCAAUGAUGGUGAGGGCACUAGUUUAGAUUGUGAUCAGGAAAGUGCAUCAUACUUAGUUCUUCAAAGAAUUGGCUUACUUCUGCUGAAGCUAGAAACCAUCUAUAAUGCCUCAGUGAAGUGCAUUGAUGCCUUGGUUGAAGACCUUCAGUUCAUUUCAUCUUCAGUAUCAGCUGCAGUUGUUAGGAACAUACUAGAUUCAACAUUGAAGGUGAAUAAAUGCAUUGUUGACCAGGCCAUCGUAACUGAAUUGUCAACAGUUGUGCAACUUCCAUCCCAUUAGUACAGCACUUGGAGCAGGUGGUCCACUUGGUUCAGCUUUUAAGAGAAGAAAGUAUUUUAAGGUGCAUUUCCAGUGUGUUGAUAGCAUUGAAUAUAUUAUUGAUACUGAAAAGAACAAGACCUUUCAAUAUGUGCCUAUUCUCCAGACUUUGCAGGAAGUCUUGAAGAAUGAAGACAUUGCAGAAAUAAUUUUAUCCAGAAAAUCAAAUAGUACUGGAUAUAUUAAGUCAAUUUUUGAUGGAAAAUCCUUCAAGCAAAAUGUAUUUUAUGCUGGGGAAGAAACAAGACUGUCUAUAAUCCUUUACGUUGACGACUUUGAAGUGUGUAACCCACUAGGAACUUCGAGAAAAAAAACACAAAAUAACAGCUGUUUAUUGGGUUUUGGCAAAUGUUCCAACAAAGUUGCAAUCUGCAUUAACGUCAAUACACCUAGCUUUACUUUGCAAAGCUGUUGAUGUCAAACAGUUUGAAUACAGAGCAGUUUUGGAACCACUCUUGAAGGAUCUUGUCAUUCUAGAACAGGAAGGGAUUUUCAUUUCCAGUGUUAAAGGGACAGUACAUUGUGUUGUAGCUGACAAUCUCGAUGCACAUUCUAUCAGUGGACUAGUUGAAUGUUUCACGGGGCCGUACAUCUGUAGAUUUUGUCUUGGACAUUCUUCAGAGUACCAGACACACGAAGUGCGGACCGGAGUGUUUCCACCUCGGACAAAGAAGGAACAUAGUUUGCAUGUGCAAACUGAGAGAAAAUCCAAAUGUUACUCAUUGCUUUGGCGUAAAGCGGUCGUGUCCAUUGACUGAUAAAUUAAAUCACUUUCAUUUUGAGUCUGGGUACCCACCAGAUGUACUACAUGACCUUUUGGAAGGCAUAGUCCCAAGGGAACUAGCAUUGUGUUUUCAGAUUUUCACCAAGAAGAAGUACUUCAGUUUGACUGAGCUUAACGAGUUAAUAACUGAGUCUGACUGUCAAAGUUCUGCGUUAUAGGCCUAUACAUCUGAUAGGCUAUCAGAGAAUGCACUGAUUUGUUAUUGAAAGCUAUCUUUAUUUUUGUUUAAUGUUUCUUGGGUGUUCUAACAUUGUGCUUUCUUCUGAUGUGACGCUGACCUAGGCCAUUGCAAGUGUUUGUUCUAAAGGAAUAGAUGUAAGAUGCAUAGAACAUCUGUAGGCUGUGCUAGUUUACUUGUUAGAAAGCCAUGCUUGUACUGUAAUUAUGCAUGUUAAAAAAGAUAGGUCCACCCGGAUUGUGGAUUAUGGCUACUAGUAUAAGUACAGGGAAUGCAAGUCAAUUCACGUGAUGUUUUAAUCUCUUUUAGCUGUUUGAAAAACAUAUUGGCCCUUAGGAUUUCAAUUUGCGCAUAUAAAAAAGAAAUAAUAUGAAAGUUUUUUUACAGAUUUUUUUUAAAACAUUGUCGUAAUUUAAAUGUGCUAAAAAGACUAAACCUUGAAUCACAUCCAAAAAAGUAAUCUGUGCCUGUAAUGCCCACAAAUUAUAAAUACCUCCAGUAUUGUUCCCCGAUUGUACACAUACAUGAUUUCUGUCUUUGUUUUGUACUUGUAAUAUGUUGGAUAAACAUGUUGAGACAAAAUUGCACGAAUAAAUGUUAACCUGCU